RNAcentral lists this ribosomal RNA (253 nucleotides) under uncultured bacterium. RNAcentral's name for it is "partial 16S ribosomal RNA". It matches the Rfam family "Bacterial small subunit ribosomal RNA", at positions 524 to 776 of the family's 1533-position model. The record is from RNAcentral.
UACGUAGGGCGCAAGCGUUGUCCGGAAUUAUUGGGCGUAAAGAGCUUGUAGGCGGUUUGUCGCGUCUGCUGUGAAAUUUCGGGGCUCAACCCCGAACUUGCAGUGGGUACGGGCAGACUAGAGUGUGGUAGGGGAGACUGGAAUUCCCGGUGUAGCGGUGAAAUGCGCAGAUAUCGGGAGGAACACCGGUGGCGAAGGCGGUUCUCUGGGCCUUACCUGACGCUGAGGAGCGAAAGCGUGGGGAGCGAACAGG